This 301-nucleotide ribosomal RNA is filed under the name uncultured bacterium. RNAcentral's name for it is "partial 16S ribosomal RNA". It matches the Rfam family "Bacterial small subunit ribosomal RNA", at positions 509 to 809 of the family's 1533-position model. The record is from RNAcentral.
CAGCCGCCGCGGUAAUACGGAAGGUCCAGGCGUUAUCCGGAUUUAUUGGGUUUAAAGGGAGUGUAGGCGGUCUGUUAAGCGUGUUGUGAAAUUUAGGUGCUCAACAUCUAACUUGCAGCGCGAACUGGCGGACUUGAGUGCACGCAACGUAUGCGGAAUUCAUGGUGUAGCGGUGAAAUGCUUAGAUAUCAUGACGAACUCCGAUUGCGAAGGCAGCGUACGGGAGUGUUACUGACGCUUAAGCUCGAAGGUGCGGGUAUCGAACAGGAUUAGAUACCCGAGUAGUCCCUGUCUCUUAUAA